RNAcentral lists this non-coding RNA (21 nucleotides) under Arabidopsis thaliana (thale cress). The record is from RNAcentral. Lineage: Eukaryota; Viridiplantae; Streptophyta; Magnoliopsida; Brassicales; Brassicaceae.
UUAGUGUCUGUUGAGUGUAGA